GAAUUAUUGACGAUGGGGGAAACCCUGAUCAUGCAACGCCGCGUGGAUGAUGAAGUACUUCGGUACGUAAAAUCCUUUCGACAGGGAAGAAACUCUUCGGAGCUGACGGUACCUGUAGAAGAAGCCCCGGCUAACUCCGUGCCAGCAGCCGCGGUAAUACGGGGGGGGCAAGCGUUGUUCGGAUUUACUGGGCGGAAAGGGCGCGUAGGCGGUUUGUUAAGUCGGAUGUGAAAACUGGGGGCUCAACCCUCAGCCUGCAUCCGAUACUGGCAAACUAGAGUGCGAGAGGGGAAGGCGGAAUUCCUGGUGUAGCGGUGAAAUGCGUAGAUAUCAGGAGGAACACCGGUGGCGAAGGCGGCCUUCUGGAUCGCAACUGACGCUGAGGCGCGAAAGCUAGGGGAGCAAACAGG
This 410-nucleotide ribosomal RNA is filed under the name uncultured bacterium. RNAcentral's name for it is "bacterial SSU rRNA". It matches the Rfam family "Bacterial small subunit ribosomal RNA", at positions 359 to 776 of the family's 1533-position model. The record is from RNAcentral.